Molecule: ribosomal RNA, 468 nt
Filed under: uncultured bacterium
Lineage: Bacteria
Description: partial 16S ribosomal RNA
Rfam family: Bacterial small subunit ribosomal RNA
Source: RNAcentral
GACGAACGCUGGCGGCGUGCUUAACACAUGCAAGUCGAACGGAAAGGCCCUGCCUUUGUGGGGUGCUCGAGUGGCGAACGGGUGAGUAACACGUGAGUAACCUGCCCUUGACUUUGGGAUAACUUCAGGAAACUGGGGCUAAUACCGGAUAGGAGCUCCUGCUGCAUGGUGGGGGUUGGAAAGUUUCGGCGGUUGGGGAUGGACUCGCGGCUUAUCAGCUUGUUGGUGGGGUAGUGGCUUACCAAGGCUUUGACGGGUAGCCGGCCUGAGAGGGUGACCGGCCACAUUGGGCCUGAGAUACGGCCCAGACUCCUACGGGAGGCAGCAGUGGGGAAUAUUGCACAAUGGGCGGAAGCCUGAUGCAGCAACGCCGCGUGCGGGAUGACGGCCUUCGGGUUGUAAACCGCUUUCGCCUGUGACGAAGCGUGAGUGACGGUAAUGGGUAAAGAAGCACCGGCUAACUACGUG